GAUUAAAUGGCUGAAGUUUAGGCAAUAAAUUGUAAAUUUAUUUAUGGGAUUUAUCUCUUUAAUCA
Molecule: non-coding RNA, 65 nt
Organism: Anopheles darlingi
Lineage: Eukaryota; Metazoa; Arthropoda; Insecta; Diptera; Culicidae
Source: Rfam